RNAcentral lists this unclassified non-coding RNA (377 nucleotides) under uncultured Actinomycetes bacterium. Its description in RNAcentral is "uncultured actinobacterium contains 16S-23S intergenic spacer region". The record is from RNAcentral. Lineage: Bacteria; Bacillati; Actinomycetota; Actinomycetes.
UCCGAGUUGACCCCGGCAGUCUCCUGCGAGUCCCCGCCAUUACGCGCUGGCAACACAGGACAAGGGUUGCGCUCGUUGCGGGACUUAACCCAACAUCUCACGACACGAGCUGACGACAACCAUGCACCACCUGUGCGCCGACCUUGCGGAACCACCAUCUCUGGCAGCGUCCGGUGCAUGUCAAGCCUUGGUAAGGUUCUUCGCGUUGCAUCGAAUUAAUCCGCAUGCUCCACCGCUUGUGCGGGCCCCCGUCAAUUCCUUUGAGUUUUAGCCUUGCGGCCGUACUCCCCAGGCGGGGCGCUUAAUGCGUUAGCUACAGCACAGAAACCCGGGAAGGGCCCCCACACCUAGCGCCCAACGUUUACAGCAUGGACUAC